UGACUUAAAUUGAUGGCCCCCAUUUUUAACCCGGCUGCUGCCCUUGCUUUUCCCUCUGCUGUCCGGCCGCCUGUUGCUUCCCUCCCUUUGCUCCCAUUUUGCAGCUUUUCUUGAAAUCUGGCAAGCGCCAGGAAGGGAAAUAACUUCCAUGCACCUUAAUUUAAAUCAAUCAAAUGUAAGUUUCUUUCUUCAAGGGAGGGAUGUUUGCUCGCUCCUUUCCCCCGCUCCAAGAAGGGGGUGGGGGUUGGUUUCGGGCAGUUUCUUGGAGAUGAGGUAAUGAGUUCCAGAUUUUAGGACAGAGCAGGGUGCGCGUUAAAAACCACAAGGUUAGUCUGCGUCCUGAUGUGAAGUUAUUUCGGUUGUUUUAUCCCCCCGCCCCUCCCCCCCAAAGGGCCCAUUGGUCUGAGGGUUCUCGAAGCUGUGCUGGGGGUACAGGGUGAGGUGGAGAACCGAGGGGUGAGGGGGACGCGCGGGGCGGUUGUUCCCGCCCGGGGCCGGGCCGCGCCCGCCGCUCCCCUCCCCUCUCCGGGGGCGCUCUCCCCCGCGCCUGCGGGACCGGCCCGAGCACCACUACCGGCCUCGGCGCCCCGGGCUACUUAGAACACCCCCCCCUCGCCACCCCCCGCAAAGAAAACCCGAUUCCUCGAAUUUCCUCCGCUUUUCCAACUCCCGGAGGGCACUCCCCUCCCCCGCUCCCGGAGGGGGCGCGGGCUCCGCGGGGCGGCGGCCAGCCUGGCCCGCUGGCCCCGGAGUUGUUUACCGGCCCGGCCGACCGACCGGGUUUGUUCCAGCUCCCAGAGCCUGCCUCUAUAAUUAAACCCUUUUUUUAAUUGUCGGGUUGAAACGUCAUUUCGGGGACUUUCCAAGGGUGAGGGAGCCGAGGGGAGGGAGCGAGCCUCCUUAACCCUUCGCUGACCCGGGCGCAGCUUCUGGCACGGCCGGGACGGGGUGGCGAUCUGGGGGCCUGAGCCGGCCAGUCCCCGCGGAGAGGUGCUCCGCAAGUGCCCGAUGGUGGCGGGAACGGCAGAGCCGCGACCCGGCAGGAAGCGCGACGGGAGGCGUGCACCGCCCUCCCCGCCGCUGGGCUCGGCGGGGCGCCCCGCGGCUCCUUCCCCGCGCCGUGCGCAGCGCAGAAGGGCCGCCCCUUCACCUGCACCGCCGCUUCCGACUGGGCGGCGCCGCGCCAGGUCCCCGGCCGGGCGGACUUCCGGGCCCUCCCUGCGCGCUGGGAGCCGGGCUCCGCGAGGGGCGGGCCUAGCCAGGUCUUUUUGGCUUGGGGGUACCAGGUUUUGUCAAAGGGGGAAAGUGAAAGUCCUCGGAAUUAGGGAAACACGACGGAUCUAUUCUGUGACCAGUCUGGACCCUGGGCGCACCUCGAGGCAGGAUUUCCGAUAUGAUGUUGAAUGGCACGGUGAAAGUGAACACCCUCGCCGUGAUGGCAGUCUCAGGAGAAAGCAUUCAGUCUUUCACUAUUAAAAAAUAAAAAAUAAAUGUUUGAAAAAAUACUGGAUUCUAAGAGUUGGACUCCAGGGUUGAAGUCUUAGAACAUAAGUAAAUUGUAAACAGAAUAUUAAAUGUAAGCAAAGAUUUCUCUCAAGCUUCUAUGUCAUCAGCAGUACUUUUCUAAAGUGGCGGAGAACGUGGUGCAUUAAUGAAGAUGAGGAGGAGGAAGGAGGGGACCUGGCCAAAGAGCAAGGUGUGGAGAAGGCGAGGGGGCCCUUGAGGGCACUUCCAGAGAAGCCCUUGGCCGCAGGCAUCCAGGGCCUGGGAAAAGAGUACAGCCCCCGGGCCCACCUGGUGCUCUCGGGCCCCUCUGCCCCAGGAUGCAGCUGGCUCCAGGUGUGCCCCAGGCAGAGCAUGACAUCCGCUCUCCUCUUGCUGCUCUCGGCUGGGCCUGCUAAGGACUCAGCCAGCGCCCAAUGGCAUUGACGCCCCAGGGUGGGAAGCAAGCCUGCGGCUGGGGGGACAGCCAGAUGGACUCCAGUCGAUUUGCCUCAGACAGCUGGGGAGCAGAGCCAGGACACUCCUCAUCCCCCUCCCCACCCCUCCAGACAAGGAGGGGAGCGGCCGCCACUUCUAGGAUUUCUCUGCCACCACACCCAUUGAGAAGUGCCACCUGCUUCCAUCAGUACCGGGGCUGACCCUCAGGACCUCCCACAGGUGGGGUUUGUGGUACUCCCCAGUGGCCAAGAACUUUGAAGGUACCUCACAGUUAUCAGCGUCAUCCUGCAUUCUUUCUGUGUCCGGACAACGCCCACUGGCCCGGGGGUGGGCGCUGCUGGGAGGAAGGAUCUUGUGCUGGAAACCUGCCCCUGCCUCCCUACCAGAUCCUCCAGAUGCUCAGGCCAACUUCAGCCAGACAGCGAGGAUCAGGGGGUACCCAGACUCCCCCAAGAAGUUGACCCCAGGCAGCAAGUCAUCCCACCCCCAGCCCAGAGCUUUACCAGCAACACCUGCCCAGGGGGUGCACCGUCCCUGAGCCCCAGCCCUUCUGGGUGGAACCUGGUGAGUCCCCCACCUGGACACCCAGAGAAGGGCAGGUUCCAUGAGCAGUGGGGCCCAGGCCCACACAACGUGGAGGAAACACCAUCUGCCCCAGCCCUGGGCCGGGCCUGGCAGCCAUAGCCACCCUCACAGGGGGGCCCCUCUCCAGAAGGGAGCUCCUCUUCCAAGGACACCCAGGUCCUCGCUGCUACUGCGGCCCCGCCUGCCGGCUGUGGCCGCCUUCUUGCCAGCACUGCUUCAGCAGAUGAACAAGAAUAAAAGCCUGUGUGGCCCAAGGAAGUCUUUAGGGGAAAGAAUUGAAGCUGAAGGAAAGCGGGGGAGGUUAUAAGAAAUAGGAGAGGAAAGAGAUUCGGGAAACAGACAGAAUAAACCAUCCGGGAAUCCAGAUGUAAAACAAGGAAGGCCAAAAGAAGGGAAAAGUUAUGCUAAGAAGGCAGAGUAGGGUGGGGAGGGGAAUUGAGAACGAAAAAGAAGAAGAGGGCAGUUAUAAAUAUUCUGCAAAGAGAGAAGUAUGUGAAAGCAAACAACACCAGAAAAAAGAAAGAGAGACCCAGGAGAGAAAAGGAGGCAGCGAUGAACUUAACAACAACUGCGUUGACCCUCAACCAACCACACUCAUUAGUUCUGAGUCUGACGGCUCUUUGUGGAUUUCGGGCUCCUCUGAACACAGAGCAAGGACAGCCCUAGAAAAGCAAGCUUUCCUUCUUGCCCUUGGUUUUCCUACAGUGCUCCCAACUUACCCCAGCUGGUGGUAUU
RNA transcript from Myotis myotis, 3261 nucleotides. RefSeq lists it as uncharacterized. The record is from RefSeq and is a predicted model, not a curated record. NCBI's taxonomy places the organism in Eukaryota, Metazoa, Chordata, Mammalia, Chiroptera, Vespertilionidae. The transcript is spliced from 3 exons.